UGGGGAAUUUUGGACAAUGGGCGCAAGCCUGAUCCAGCCAUGCCGCGUGCGGGAAGAAGGCCUUCGGGUUGUAAACCGCUUUGUCAGGGAAGAAAUCUUCUGAGUUAAUACCUCGGGAGGAUGACGGUACCUGAAGAAUAAGCACCGGCUAACUACGUGCCAGCAGCCGCGGUAAUACGUAGGGUGCAAGCGUUAAUCGGAAUUACUGGGCGUAAAGCGUGCGCAGGCGGUUUUGUAAGACAGAGGUGAAAUCCCCGGGCUCAACCUGGGAACUGCCUUUGUGACUGCAGGGCUUGAGUGCGGCAGAGGGGGAUGGAAUUCCGCGUGUAGCAGUGAAAUGCGUAGAUAUGCGGAGGAACACCGAUGGCGAAGGCAAUCCCCUGGGCCUGCACUGACGCUCAUGCACGAAAGCGUGGGGAGCAAACAGGAUUAGAUAGCCCUGGUAGUCCACGCCCUAAAACGAUGUCAACUGGUUGUUGGGAAGGUUCCUUCUCAGUAACGUAGCUAACGCGUGAAGUUGACCGCCUGGGGAGUACGGCCGCAA
This 544-nucleotide ribosomal RNA is filed under the name uncultured bacterium. Its description in RNAcentral is "partial 16S ribosomal RNA". It matches the Rfam family "Bacterial small subunit ribosomal RNA", at positions 355 to 891 of the family's 1533-position model. The record is from RNAcentral.